Ciona intestinalis (vase tunicate) is the source of this 2800-nucleotide non-coding RNA. Lineage: Eukaryota; Metazoa; Chordata; Ascidiacea; Phlebobranchia; Cionidae. The record is from RefSeq and is a predicted model, not a curated record.
UAAAUCUACAAAACAUUAGUAUGACUCCGUUACCGCAGUGUUAUGACUUAGAUUACUAAUAGACAGAAAAUUCUAUAUAUUUAGAAUUAGAUGAUUCAACUGACACAUAUAAUGCAUCGAACUACUUACGUGAACGACCGCACAGAAACGCACCACUGCCUACAAUUGCAUUUGCUGUCGCAAUAGUAAUCACGAAACGUCACGAUUAUCUCAUUUUGACGUUUGACGUACCACGACACACGAAAAACAAUUAAUAACUUUACCAAGCCACUGGUGUUUUUGGUGUCAUACGACCAAUUUUGUUGUUGACGCGACGUUAAAUUGUUACAGGAAUCCCCAAAUCAACAGAAACGUACAAAACGACAGGAUUUGCGUUUUACCAGACCCAAUUAAUUUUGCAUUUUUUCACAUAUUCGUGUUGGUAAUCUUUAUGCAAAAGUUUGUUUUUAAUUUUUUAAUUUUAAAAUUAAUGUCUCGAAUUAGGGGAAUAUAUUUAUCGUUACGGGAUUUCCCCGCAACUUUGUUUACCUUUUUAACAUUAUGGAACGGGAAGCUUUCUCAAUUUGGAAAGACAGCUUUAAGGAUAGAUUUAUUAAAUUAUCACUUUCUCAAAGACUUGAUGUGGCCAAGCUCUUUCUAAAACUAUGUGAAGUAAAGGAGUUGACUUACUUGAUAACGGAAAUGGAUGGUUUAUUGGUGCGGAAUUUUACCAGACUUUUACCAACUGAAGUAGUGAAUGAGAUAUUAAGUUACCUAGAUCCAACCUCAAUGCUCAACUGCUGCCAAGUUCAAAGAUCGUGGAAUGAAGAUAUAACUCGGUCUUGUGAUUUGUGGAAAAAAUCAUGCAUUGACAUUGGAUGUAAAGUUUUAAAAACAGAUGUUGGAGUAAACAGUGGAAAAUUCUGGAGGGAAAAAUUUGUCCAUGGUUCCAAAUGUUUUCACAAACUAAAAUCUCAUCAGUUUCAUGACACACUUGAGUUAUGUGGUCACAAACAAAGAGUUUAUUGCUUACAGUAUGAUGGAAACGACAAAUUAUAUUCCGGAUCUGGAGAUGGACAGAUAUGCAUCUGGAAUAUUAAUUCUGGAAGUUUAUUCAAAACUUUUACUGUAGAACCAUGUUCUGACAUUGUAUUGGCCACAUCUCUCCUGUAUGUAGGUUCUUUUACAUGUAUUAUAUCCUGCUGGAACAUUGAGAAUGGAGGGCAUUGUAAAAGUUAUAGAGGCCACACAGGUGCUGUGUUCAGUUUGGCAUUAAAUGAAGCACAUGAUUUACUUCUAAGUGGAUCUACAGACCAAACAGCAAGGCUGUGGAAGAUUUCUACAUGUGAAACACUUCAUGUGUUUCAUGGACAUGAUUGUUGGGUGAAAAAGGUUUUACUCUUUACAACAACAUUCUACAACAAAGAUUUUAUGCAUGGUGAAAUAAUGGCUGUUACAAUGGGAGAAAUAGAUAUUAGGAUAUGGAAGUCAGAUUCAGAUAACUGCUUGGCCAAGCUUCAUGAUCUCCACCCAAAUAAAACUGAGAAAUCACAAAAUAUAUUAAUUAAUAACACAAGUCUUUUCUGCUCUUGCCAAGGUGAUGUCUUAGAAUGGAGUAUAAUUGAUUAUACUCUUACCAGAAAAUUUCCCUUGAGUUCUGAAAAAUCGUUUUGUGUCAACAUUGGACGAGUCUUCCUAGUUGAAUGUGACUUUAACGGAGAAAUGAAGUUGGCGUUACGAAAUCGUCGGUUACAUCGCAACUCUAUUUGCUACACAGACACUAAAGACGUAGUCUCAUUGCUCAAGAUGAAGGGAUUUGAUAAAAUAGGAAAUACUAAUAACAUUGUAUUAAGUGGGUUCAGUUUUAUGGACGGAUUUAAAUGCGACCUGCCGCCGAAAGAACAAUGUUUAGUCGCUGCUGUGCUGAAAAAUCAUAACAUAGUUAUUUUUAAAUUAAAAAUAUAGUAGGAGAUACCAACUAUAUUGUACUACCACAAUAUUAGCGUUAGGUACAGUAUAUUUGGCAUAUCAAUAACUCUUUGUGCGUUAGUAUUGUAGCGAUUAAGUGCUGCACCCCCAAUAGUAUCUACCCGAUCGGUUGCAUUUGCCAAGUAAUAAAUGAUCUCUAUGAGCGAUUGCUCAGUCAAGCUUAUCGAAAAUGUUUUGUCAAAAACAUGAAAGUUGAUUUUUGCGAAGAAGUUUAAAAAACUGCAUGGCACAAUUAUUGGAUACUGUUCGCGACGAUUUACUGUUGACAAAGGGCUGGCAGCAAGCUGUUGCAUUUCACUGUAAAGAAGUAAAGUUACCGUUUAUAGUUGCAAAAGAACGAGAGGAUUCACCAAAUAUUGUUGUUGUUCCCUGCAAGCAUAACGAAUACAGUGCACAUUUAAGUUUAGAUCUGUCUUAAAAUCAUCACUGCUCUCUGAUCUUAGUGAAUAUGAACGUUCUAGGAUUCUGCUGGCUCUUGUUGGGCAGUCCUUCGUCAUAGUUUAUCACUGGUUGUCCAUGGAAUAAAUUCAAUUUGAUGCAGAAAUGUGAUAUCUCUUCACAUUUGUUAAUGAAGGAUUUUCUUCUCUUUGAUUGCAAAGAAAGCUGUCAGACAUGCUUCAGAUUGUAUUGAAAAGGAAUAUGUCUGUUUAGUGCCAAUAACUAAUUCUGCAUUUAAAAACAUGAACUCAUUAUUGUUUUACUUGAAUUUGAACCUUUUUCUCUGUAAGAAUCUACCUGUAUGGUGCCAGGAGUAAAAAAGGUGUUAUUGAAACGUCAUGUUGCUAUCUACAAGGGUUUACUUUGAUUCUAAUUCUUAAUUUUUCCGCUUAGA